This 755-nucleotide ribosomal RNA is filed under the name uncultured bacterium. RNAcentral's name for it is "bacterial SSU rRNA". It matches the Rfam family "Bacterial small subunit ribosomal RNA", at positions 124 to 880 of the family's 1533-position model. The record is from RNAcentral.
ACCUGCCGUCUACUCUUGGACAGCCUUCUGAAAGGAAGAUUAAUACAAGAUGGCAUCAUGAGUCCACAUGUUCACAUGAUUAAAGGUAUUCCGGUAGACGAUGGGGAUGCGUUCCAUUAGAUAGUAGGCGGGGUAACGGCCCACCUAGUCUUCGAUGGAUAGGGGUUCUGAGAGGAAGGUCCCCCACAUUGGAACUGAGACACGGUCCAAACUCCUACGGGAGGCAGCAGUGAGGAAUAUUGGUCAAUGGGCGAGAGCCUGAACCAGCCAAGUAGCGUGAAGGAUGACUGCCCUAUGGGUUGUAAACUUCUUUUAUAAAGGAAUAAAGUCGGGUAUGCAUACCCGUUUGCAUGUACUUUAUGAAUAAGGAUCGGCUAACUCCGUGCCAGCAGCCGCGGUAAUACGGAGGAUCCGAGCGUUAUCCGGAUUUAUUGGGUUUAAAGGGAGCGUAGAUGGAUGUUUAAGUCAGUUGUGAAAGUUUGCGGCUCAACCGUAAAAUUGCAGUUGAUACUGGAUAUCUUGAGUGCAGUUGAGGCAGGCGGAAUUCGUGGUGUAGCGGUGAAAUGCUUAGAUAUCACGAAGAACUCCGAUUGCGAAGGCAGCCUGCUAAGCUGCAACUGACAUUGAGGCUCGAAAGUGUGGGUAUCAAACAGGAUUAGAUACCCUGGUAGUCCACACGGUAAACGAUGAAUACUCGCUGUUUGCGAUAUACAGCAAGCGGCCAAGCGAAAGCGUUAAGUAUUCCACCUGGGGAG